UUGAUUGAUUCAAAAUCAAUUUACUGUGAACUAUAGUUGUACCAUGAAGAAAAUAUAAAAUACAAAUAUUUGUAUGUGAAGUGCGGAAUUCUUCGUCUCUCGAAAUUUUUAACUAUAUGAUGUUAAUGUUAAAUCGAAUAAUGUAUAAAUAUCAUAAAGAACUAAAGCUGUACUUCUCCGGAGAAUGGAUUCCGAGAAGGCUUGAAGAUCAAAAAAAUGAAGAUAGCCGUAAUCGACGGACUCAUCAUGGUUAUCCUUUCCUCGCUGAAUCUCUACCAUUACGCUAGCGAAAAAUAUACUCUCAUUUACACAAUCUAUAGCUCGAAUCGACAAAUCCGUAUACCACAUUCCAGAUAUUCGAUUGGUUUUCGUUGAGAUGAUAGCCUCGUCUUCCAAAUAUGCGGCUUCGUACAGCGAAGCGAAUAAUCAAAACCAAAAACAACAAAACAUCUAUAGAAAAACACCCAGAGAACAUUGAAGAAACAACUAAAAGAAUUGAUGAGAGAUCCAAAUAAACUAGCAAUUUUUAGUGCCCACGUCGGAAACGAUUCAACUUUCAAUGAAGAAAUAGCCCUUCUGUAUUAACAUUUCUGCGACUUGCGGGUAUAUUAGAUGCCAUAAAUGGAAGAAAAACAACAGCGAAAAAAAAAAACGAAUAUGAUAAUUUUAUAUUCAGAGAUAUGCCAACGUUAUCGGAUCAUAGAAAAACUCAUUAAAUAUCCAUAUUAAAUCGAACUCAUGGAGGCAGCUUCUUUGCAGCGACAGUACAAUAAUAGUGGUCUGAUCCAAAGAACUCAUUGAAGAAUCGGGAUCAACGAGUAUUUUUUCAUGCAACUACCAGACAAGACACGCUCAAUAUACUCAAAUUGGAUACAAUGUACUGUUGGAGUUUAUUGCGACGAUGAACUAAAGUUUAGAGCCAUUUUCGGGACGCAAAAGAACUCAACACAAAACAAUACGAAGCGUUAUGAAUACGAGAUAUUUGUGAACUAAAGGGGAGAAAUAGUCUUCUACUGCGGAAUUUGAAGCCUAUAUAAGAGCUUCUUUUGAAAAUUUAUCACCCCAUUAUGUGUCCGACAUAAUGAUUGACAAAGCACAAUGAGCAGCAGUUAGCAUCCAGUGCACGAAAAUGAUCCACUGCUUUUUUAUGCAAAUAACUAAAGCCAACGAAUAUUUCCACCUAUAGGUAUGAUUUCAUUCGAUUAUCUCUCAUACAAAAAAUUUUACUAGGAUAGCCUACAUGUGUAGUUUUUUCAGGGCGUCAUCUGAUUUGAAAAUUCAUGUGCAAUUUUUUUAAAGUACAAGACGUCUUAAAAAUACUCAACAUAUAAGUUUAAAGAUGAAUGAUAAUGAUCGAAGUAAUUUUUUAAUUAAAAUUAUAUUGCUUACUAGGAUAAUUACAUAGUUAAUUACUCAAAUAAAAUCAAAUUCUCAUUUCAA
This is a long non-coding RNA of Planococcus citri (citrus mealybug), 1440 nucleotides long. RefSeq lists it as uncharacterized. Lineage: Eukaryota; Metazoa; Arthropoda; Insecta; Hemiptera; Pseudococcidae. The transcript has 3 exons. The record is from RefSeq and is a predicted model, not a curated record.